This 427-nucleotide ribosomal RNA is filed under the name uncultured bacterium. Its description in RNAcentral is "partial 16S ribosomal RNA". It matches the Rfam family "Bacterial small subunit ribosomal RNA", at positions 355 to 774 of the family's 1533-position model. The record is from RNAcentral.
UGGGGAAUAUUGGACAAUGGGCGAAAGCCUGAUCCAGCCAUGCCGCGUGUGUGAAGAAGGUCUUCGGAUUGUAAAGCACUUUAAGUUGGGAGGAAGGGCAUUAACCUAAUACGUUAGUGUUUUGACGUUACCGACAGAAUAAGCACCGGCUAACUCUGUGCCAGCAGCCGCGGUAAUACAGAGGGGGCAAGCGUUAAUAGGAAUUACUGGGCGUAAAGCGCGCGUAGGUGGUUUGUUAAGUUGGAUGUGAAAUCCCCGGGCUCAACCUGGGAACUGCAUUCAAAACUGACUGACUAGAGUAUGGUAGAGGGUGGUGGAAUUUCCUGUGUAGCGGUGAAAUGCGUAGAUAUAGGAAGGAACACCAGUGGCGAAGGCGACCACCUGGACUAAUACUGACACUGAGGUGCGAAAGCGUGGGGAGCAAACA